Molecule: non-coding RNA, 2319 nt
Organism: Aegilops tauschii subsp. strangulata
Lineage: Eukaryota; Viridiplantae; Streptophyta; Magnoliopsida; Poales; Poaceae
Source: RefSeq, a predicted model, not a curated record
UCCCUGUUUACUACCUGUGCUACCCAUUUGAUCAAUAUCUCUUUACCCAUUGUGGCUAGUUUUAGAUAAAGCACCGUCCAAUGUUCCGGCCACAGAGUAGUUCUGGCCAGUGAUUACCUCUUUAAAGCUGCCCAACAGCCCAAGUAUGUAUCUUUUUUUAGUACAAACACAAGCGUUCAAAUACACGCGCAUACACUCAUCCCUAUGAACGCACACACGCACAUCCUACCCCUAUGAGCACUUCCGAAAGACUAAGCCGGCAUAUCAUCUUGAGAUUUACGAAGUGACCGUAGGCGCCUCGUCGUCGACGGGAACGAACGCCUCCUCCCACUGAAAACGCAUUGCCAGAAAUCCUGAAAUAAAUCUAAAAAUAAAUACAAGCACCAGGAUUUGAAACUGAGGGACUGAGAAUACCAUAGUACAUGUAACCAUCCAACGUGUCGUUGGUUGGUUCGCACCCAAGUAUGUAUCUGUCGAUGGCAUACACGGCCCAGCAGCAUUAGACUAGUACGGCCGCAGCCAAUCAGCGUCUACGGGCACGCUGCCCACAAACCCGAUACGCUUGUCUGCGUCCACAGAGGAUCCGGUGCGCAUAUGACGCACGCAGUGACGUCAAAUGCGCGCAAGUUGCGGUAUGCCGGUGCGAUCCAGCUGUCACAACAAACCACCGCGCGGCACGCGUGGCGCAUCUGGCCCGUCCAAGGCCAACGACUCCAUCCCGGCCGUCCACUUCGGCCUACCAGACAAUAAAUACCUCCUCCUCCGCAUACCCUCCUACCAAACCAAGAGGAAACCUAGCCGCGUUCUCCUCUGCGGCACGCAACCUUUGUCCCCCUCUAGAUAUAGAACAACACGCCUCGUCCACCCAUACCUCUACAAGUCAGAUCUAGGCCUGACCUGUAGUUUCCUGACCGUGCUCGCCUCGAUCUCGGGGUAAGCUGAAUUCGGCGUCCAUGAUUUGUUCCGAUCACCCGUUUGUUAUCUGAUUCCCAGGUUUGUCCUUCUGAUCGGCGAGUUGGGGCUUGCGGCGAUCUUGGAGAAAAGACGGGAGGCAAGCUGGAUCUGCCCACGGAAGCUUCCGAUCUGCCCGGCUGGCGUCUCAGAUCUGUUGCUGUUCUGAUGCUUCACGGCGGAUCUGGUUUUUCCCGGCGGUCUCAAGUCGGCGCAGCGGCUGGCGGCGAGUUUUCCGGCAAGCACGUGGGAUCCCGUCUGCUCGUCUACCUCGUGCGACGACGGCCGACGGCUCUUUGUGUUGAUAAUUAUUCGAUGAUAUGUCGGUAAUUAUUAGAUCCAAGAGAUCGGAGGUGAUGAAAGGUAAGAAGAUGUAACAAGCGAGGUGCUUGUGGAGAGGGCGGAGAAGAGCGGAAAAAAAAGAGAUGUGAACAUCUAGAGGCCUUUGCCAUGUUGGGUGCGCUCGCAUGGCAGGCCGCCACCAUAAUAAAGAUGUUUUUUUUGUCUCGGGGGGAGAUCGCACGGGGGUUAUCUUGUUUUAGCCCCGGGUUCUCCCCCCUGUGUGCUGGUGUGCUCCUUUUGUCUGCACCUCUCGUCCGAUCCGACUACAUGGCACAACAAUUCUACCGUCGCGAAUCGAUCAUGGAGCUACAGACGAAAGAACAAAGGUACAAUCGAUAAUUUACAUACAGCUGAACCAUAUAUAAUCAUUGACACCACAAAUUUCAAUACAUACAAGGAUUAUCUUGAAUCCAUACAAGUAACUUUGGUAGAUAUAGAUAUAGAGAUUGUGUUGACACAUCACCACAAAUCUGCAACCAACUACAGCAGUCCAGCCUAAACAAAUUGUUUGCAUGCGGAUUUACAUAUUGUUGUAACAAUUCGAGUAUAUUUGGAUUCUUCACUCAGAAGUUGUGUUUAUUUGUAUGAUAUUCUGUACUAAAUUUAAGUUUAAUUCUCCCUAUAUAAGGAUUUUUUAAUAAGAAAUUCAUAUUAGACCCCUUUUCUCUGGUCUCCUGCUUCAUAUUGUAAUCUGUCUUACGUAAGAUACAAUUUAUGUAGCUUGAACAGCUGUAUGUGGGUCUUUGUAUUACCCAAAUGAAGCCUACAGCUAUACGCAGGUGGACACAUCUUUCUCGUUGGAGCUUGAAGAGACGUGAGAGCUCUAUGAUUCUGGAGAAAUCUGCCGAACACAUCUUACCUCAGGGAAUACCCGCUGGGAGGCUGGUUUACAUGUACUUGCUUACUAAUCUGGAUAAUCAUUUAUUAGAGCGCUAUUUUAAUCAGUUUCGCUACAUAUUAUGGUGAACAUUACAUCCAUUUGUAUCAGUUGGUUAAAGAUAAUUAGAUAUUUAUUAUAUUUGUGGA